RNAcentral lists this long non-coding RNA (1378 nucleotides) under Brachypodium distachyon (stiff brome). Its description in RNAcentral is "long non-coding RNA (BDIS_LNC005226)". The record is from RNAcentral. Lineage: Eukaryota; Viridiplantae; Streptophyta; Magnoliopsida; Poales; Poaceae.
UAGGGGUGGGUAAACAUUAUCAUCUCUGUUCUAAUUCGAUCUCUGUGUGCGUGCUUGGUCUCCGUUUCUUUAUCACGAGAGUGGGAACUGCGUGCUUGGUCUGCUGCACUUUCUCCGGGUCAACUUCUUGACGGAUGGAGUAAUAAUCUCCAUGCAUGUGUAAGACACAGUCUGAUUUGAUUAAGGGGUCCGUUUGCUAUGCAAUCAACCAACUAAUGCAAUCGUGCAAUCAAAUCGACGCGAGCCCUUCGAUCUGCGAACUGCGCCUACGAUUCUCGUCGGGAGCACCCACCUCGGUUUAACUUAAUCUUUCCGUAAAUCAACCUGCACCCAGGUCUCUUGUUUUGUGAAAAACCCCUUGCCAUCAACCUCUCGAGUCUUCUUCGCCCAACAGAUCGAUUCCUGGUUUCCUCUCCGCAUCGAUCGUCCCAGGUCAUCUGAAUGCCGCCGGCCGGCCGGCCAACACCACACUGUCUUCCUCCGUGUGACCGCUGCCCUGAAACAAUCCGCCUGUACUACAUGGCAAGCCCUCAGUGAUUUGAUCUCUUCUUCUCCAAAGAGAAGAGCUCAAGUCAUGGCUCCUUCCUUCUUCUCUCUCUGCGCACAGACAAGCAAUGAUAACAAAUCAUGUUCCAGUCGCAACAUCUUUCUCUUUCCAUGCAGACGAGCAAUGCAGUGGUGCAGAAUUGCGGACUUGAACUAAACAUAAGAAAUACUCCAUGUUCUAAAGGUUUCAGGUGACUACAUCCCAGAGACCCAGAUUGCUCAGACAAACAUAAAUAUAUGUUUGGAGAGAUAAUAUUUUUUACUAAUCACAGGUCGCAACAAAGUUGUAGGAACUAACCACCAACUAAGUACUGCGAGACUAGCUACAAGCAUUCUAAGUUCAUAACACUUCUGAGGUUUCUGAAGUUCCUGUCCUUCUUUUGUUUCAGUUAAAAAAGCACUCACUUGCUCUCUCUACAUAUUGAAUAUUUGAAUACCAAUUUUUUUUUCUGAUUAUCAUAUUUGAACAAGCAUGAUGAAUCAAGAGUUUCGCUAGUUUGGUUUGUUGAUGAACAGUGUCAGAUUACUUUGCUAUCUGUAGAACAGUAGUUAAGAGCACCACAGUUCCUCUUGUGCUUUUGUUCCAGAGACAAAAUUCAUUUUUGAGGUUGCAUUACCUUCAAAACCACAAGACUCUUUGUGGUGUUACCCGAGAGAGUACUGUAGAUUGUUAGUUGAGUUCUUCUCCGAAGAGGGAUGCAGCGACAGGGACAGAAAGGGCGUCCAGGCCGUUGUGACGCUGAGCAAUCUGAAGCAGCAGGGAUCAGACCGCGUGGGGGACUGCCGUGCAGGAUCGUUUGAGGAAAGAGGUGGCACGGAGAAAAACGGUGUG